RNAcentral lists this ribosomal RNA (1200 nucleotides) under uncultured marine diplonemid. Its description in RNAcentral is "SSU rRNA". It matches the Rfam family "Eukaryotic small subunit ribosomal RNA", at positions 570 to 1574 of the family's 1831-position model. The record is from RNAcentral. Lineage: Eukaryota; Euglenozoa; Diplonemea.
GCACCCGCGGUAAUUCCAGCACCAAUAGCGUAUAUUAAUGCUGCUGCUGUUAAAAAGCUCGUAGUUGGAUCAAGAGUUGGACAGUGCACGGCGGCCCCGUUGGUCUAGCUUGGAUCCGUUCAGGUUAGCCGCGGCGGAAUCACCCCGUGCGCCAAACUGUCCACUCUAACAGGCCGAAACGGUUCCCUGUGAGUAGGCUCCUUCAUUGGGGUCGAAAGCGCCUACGCAUCAACCAUAUGCAUACGGGACGUCGGCCAAAGUUACUGUGAACAAACCAGCGUGUCCAAAGCAGGCUUUCGCCUGAAUGUUCGAGCAUGGAAUAACAAGGGAUCGAUUCUCUCGGUUCUUUUUGUUGGUUUUUAACCCGAGAAGGAGUAAUUCAGGCCACGGUGUCUGAGUUGCGUUACCCGAGCCCUUGGGUGAGGCCCCAAUUAGGCCGUGUCCUUACGGGAUCAAUAGGGACUGACGGGGUCGUACGUACUUCCGCGUCAGAGGUGAAAUUCUUAGAUCGCGGGAAGACGAACUUCUGCGAAAGCAUUCGACAAGAAUGUCUUCAUUAAUCAAGAACGAGAGUGUGGGGAUCGAAGAUGAUCAGAUACCGUCGUAGUCCACUACUGUAAACAAUGCCGUCUCAGGAUUGAGAAGUGAACUGAAUGACUUUCACAGCACUAACCCCUGAAACGAGAAAUCAACGAUUAUGGGUUCAGGGGGGAGUACAUUCGCAAGGCUGAAACUUAAAGGAAUUGACGGAAUGACACCACAAGGCGUGGAGUAUGCGGCUUAAUUUGACUCAACACGGGGAAUUUUACUAGGUCAGGACAAUGUAAGGAUUGACAGAUUGAGAGCUCUUUCUCGAUCCAUUGUGUGGUGGUGCAUGGCCGCUCCUGGUUGGUGGAGUGAUUUGUCUGGUUGAUUCCGUUAACGAACGAGAUCUCGACCCUUAAAUAGGUGCCCAUGUCGAUUGUAGUUUCGCUCCUGCUCGCUUGCGAGACUUGGACGGGACGAGACUGUGGGAGUACUUCUUAAGGGGACUGUAUGCGUUUAUAGCAUGCGGAAGAGCGAGCCAAUAGCAGGUCUGUGAUGCUCCUAAAUGUCCUAGGCUGCACGCGCACUACACUGAUGCAAUAAACGAGUCUGAUUGCCUUCUGGCAACCUACCCGGAAGCGGGUGGGAAAUCUUUUGAACUUGCAUCGUGAUGAG